RNAcentral lists this ribosomal RNA (440 nucleotides) under uncultured bacterium. Its description in RNAcentral is "bacterial SSU rRNA". It matches the Rfam family "Bacterial small subunit ribosomal RNA", at positions 355 to 786 of the family's 1533-position model. The record is from RNAcentral.
UAGGGAAUCUUCCACAAUGGGCGAAAGCCUGAUGGAGCAACGCCGCGUGGGUGAAGAAGGUCUUCGGAUCGUAAAACCCUGUUGUUAGAGAAGAAAGUGCGUGAGAGUAACUGUUCACGUUUCGACGGUAUCUAACCAGAAAGCCACGGCUAACUACGUGCCAGCAGCCGCGGUAAUACGUAGGUGGCAAGCGUUAUCCGGAUUUAUUGGGCGUAAAGGGAACGCAGGCGGUCUUUUAAGUCUGAUGUGAAAGCCUUCGGCUUAACCGGAGUAGUGCAUUGGAAACUGGGAGACUUGAGUGCAGAAGAGGAGAGUGGAACUCCAUGUGUAGCGGUGAAAUGCGUAGAUAUAUGGAAGAACACCAGUGGCGAAAGCGGCUCUCUGGUCUGUAACUGACGCUGAGGUUCGAAAGCGUGGGGUAGCAAACAGGAUUAGAUACC